AUUGAACGCUGGCGGCAGGCCUAACACAUGCAAGUCGAGCGGAUGAAGGGAGCUUGCUCCUGGAUUCAGCGGCGGACGGGUGAGUAAUGGCUAGGAAUCUGCCUGGUAGUGGGGGAUAACGUCCGGAAACGGGCGCUAAUACCGCAUACGUCCUGAGGGAGAAAGUGGGGGAUCUUCGGACCUCCCGCUUUCAGAUGAGCCUUAGUCGGAGUAGCUAGUUGUUGGGGUAAAGGCCUACCAAGGCGACGAUCCGUAACUGGUCUGAGAGGGUGAUCAGUCACACUGGAACUGAGACACGGUCCAGACUCCUACGGGAGGCAGCAGUGGGGAAUAUUGGACAAUGGGCGAAAGCCUGAUCCAGCCAUGCCGCGUGUGUGAAGAAGGUCUUCGGAUUGUAAAGCACUUUAAGUUGGGAGGAAGGGCAGUAAGUUAAUACAUUGCUGUUUUGACGUUACCAACAGAAUAAGCACCGGCUAACUUCGUG
RNAcentral lists this ribosomal RNA (484 nucleotides) under uncultured bacterium. RNAcentral describes it as "partial 16S ribosomal RNA". It matches the Rfam family "Bacterial small subunit ribosomal RNA", at positions 30 to 507 of the family's 1533-position model. The record is from RNAcentral.